Molecule: transfer RNA, 70 nt
Filed under: Gymnothorax nudivomer (starry moray)
Lineage: Eukaryota; Metazoa; Chordata; Actinopteri; Anguilliformes; Muraenidae
Description: tRNA-Asp
Rfam family: tRNA
About the family: Transfer RNA (tRNA) molecules are approximately 80 nucleotides in length. Their secondary structure includes four short double-helical elements and three loops (D, anti-codon, and T loops). Further hydrogen bonds mediate the characteristic L-shaped molecular structure. tRNAs have two regions of fundamental functional importance: the anti-codon, which is responsible for specific mRNA codon recognition, and the 3' end, to which the tRNAs corresponding amino acid is attached (by aminoacyl-tRNA synthetases). tRNAs cope with the degeneracy of the genetic code in two manners: having more than one tRNA (with a specific anti-codon) for a particular amino acid; and 'wobble' base-pairing, i.e. permitting non-standard base-pairing at the 3rd anti-codon position.
Source: RNAcentral
AGGGUGCUAGUAACAAGAAUUACAUCGCCUUGUCAAGGCGGGAUUGUGGGUUAAAGCCCCGCGUACCUUA